AUAAACUCUGCCUCAUCACUUGCCUUUGGUUGACCUAAAGAGCACUCUUUCUGUUGGGCAUAUUACUGAAGUGAUUAAGGCUGAUUUAACACCGUUCUGAAACAAUGGCAAUGUUAAAGGCUUGAGACCAGGGUGCGAAAGGAGGGUGAUGGAAACCUUAAGAAAUGAGUCCCAGUGCCAUAACUGGUGGAUGAUCCCUUGAAGAGGAAGGAGAAACCACAGGUCCUUCUCACUCACCGUGGACUGCUCACCAAGCACAAUACCACUCCUGUGGUCUCAACAGUGACAUUCAGCAGCAGCAGAGGCAGCAGCAGCAGCAGCAGCAGAGGCAGCAGCAGCAGAGGCAGCAGCAGCAGCAGCAGCAGGAAAUAUUAGCUUUACCGUGAGUCCACACUAGGAAAUUCUUCUCCGCAAUGGAUUAACUACAGACAUGUGAAGUCUUACUGUUUAAAAAUUUUUGAAUUAUUUUUGUUUAAAAAUGUCAAUGGGUACGAUAUGAAAAGUACAUUUUUUUCUCCUUGUAACUUCAAAACAACUGAACAGAACCUUUGGACAGAACCCAAGAAUUGAAUGUUUUAGCUUUAAGAGUUUCAUCACUGAAAGUAAUGAAUGAGUUUCUUUGCAAAAUUAACUAUUUCAAGCUUCAAUUGUGUGACUUCCAGCAUUCCUCGAUAAUAAAACUAAUGGUUUGAGAAGAAA
Peromyscus maniculatus bairdii (prairie deer mouse) is the source of this 699-nucleotide non-coding RNA. The record is from RefSeq and is a predicted model, not a curated record. NCBI's taxonomy places the organism in Eukaryota, Metazoa, Chordata, Mammalia, Rodentia, Cricetidae.